Molecule: ribosomal RNA, 251 nt
Filed under: uncultured bacterium
Lineage: Bacteria
Description: partial 16S ribosomal RNA
Rfam family: Bacterial small subunit ribosomal RNA
Source: RNAcentral
UGAAGAUAGGGUGGGGGAGCGGCGAACGGGUGAGUAACGCGUUGGAAGCUACCCUCUACUCAGGGAUAACCUAGAGAAAUUUGGGCUAAUACCGGAUGGUCCCCCGCUUGCGGGGGUAAAGAUUUAUCGGUAGAGGAGGCGCCUGCGUAGUAUCAGCUUGUUGGUGAGGUAAAAGCUCACCAAGGCUAUGACGCUUAGCUGGAUUGAGAGAUUGACCAGCCACACUGGGACUGAGACACGGCCCAGACUCC